GAUAGCCAUAAAUCACCAAGGGAUUGAGGGUAGGAUUUGUCACUACUCUAACAGCAUGAAUUGUCGAGUCGUAUAGUCCUCCCCAGAACAUUGCUUUACUCACAAGCAAUAAGGCGGCUAUACCCAAAAAUAAAAGAUGAUGACCUAAAAUCAAGCCAAGUUGUUUGGCAUCAUCCCA
Molecule: antisense RNA, 178 nt
Filed under: Nostoc sp. PCC 7107
Lineage: Bacteria; Bacillati; Cyanobacteriota; Cyanophyceae; Nostocales; Nostocaceae
Description: Antisense RNA which regulates isiA expression
Rfam family: Antisense RNA which regulates isiA expression
Source: Rfam by way of RNAcentral